AUCACACAUUUAAGUAGCAAGAAUAAAGGAAACAAUCCCCAUUAUUAUUUUUCUUGUUUCUACUUAGUCAUUCAAAAGACUGUAGAGCAAAGGCUCAACUCAAGUCUGCUGUACCAGUGAAGGUGCUAGACAAUACAAUAAACAAAGUAGCAGAAGAAGUUCUUUCUCCAGAGGAAUUUGAAGAAAGGCAGC
This is a long non-coding RNA of Pocillopora damicornis (cauliflower coral), 192 nucleotides long. The record is from RefSeq and is a predicted model, not a curated record. NCBI's taxonomy places the organism in Eukaryota, Metazoa, Cnidaria, Anthozoa, Scleractinia, Pocilloporidae.